UGGGGAAUUUUCCGCAAUGGGCGAAAGCCUGACGGAGCAAUACCGCGUGAGGGAGGAAGGCUCUUGGGUCGUAAACCUCUUUUCUCAGGGAAGAACACAAUGACGGUACCUGAGGAAUAAGCAUCGGCUAACUCCGUGCCAGCAGCCGCGGUAAUACGGAGGAUGCAAGCGUUAUCCGGAAUGAUUGGGCGUAAAGCGUCCGCAGGUGGCAAUGUAAGUCUGCUGUUAAAGAGUCUAGCUCAACUAGAUACAAGCAGUGGAAACUACAUAGCUAGAGUACGUUCGGGGCAGAGGGAAUUCCUGGUGUAGCGGUGAAAUGCGUAGAGAUCAGGAAGAACACCGGUGGCGAAGGCGCUCUGCUAGGCCGUAACUGACACUGAGGGACGAAAGCUAGGGGAGCGAAUG
This 405-nucleotide ribosomal RNA is filed under the name uncultured Nostoc sp. RNAcentral describes it as "bacterial SSU rRNA". It matches the Rfam family "Bacterial small subunit ribosomal RNA", at positions 355 to 774 of the family's 1533-position model. Lineage: Bacteria; Bacillati; Cyanobacteriota; Cyanophyceae; Nostocales; Nostocaceae. The record is from RNAcentral.